AAUGAACGUUGGCGGCGUGGAUUAGGCAUGCAAGUCGAGCGAGAACCCGCAAGGGGGACAGCGGCGAACGGGGUAGGACAACGUAGGUAACGUACCCUCGGGGCGAGGACAGCCACGGGAAACUGUGGGUAAUACUCGAUAAACUUCCCAAUCAUUAUGGAAGGGGAAGCAAUGGGUGUGAUUCCACCUGAGGAGCGGCUUACGCAGUAUCAGCUAGUUGGUGAGGUAACGGCUCACCAAGGCUACGACGCUUAGGGGGUGUGAGAGCAUGGCCCCCACCACUGGCACUGAGACACUGGCCAGACACCUACGGGUGGCUGCAGUCGAGAAUCUUCGGCAAUGGACGCAAGUCUGACCGAGCGACGCCGCGUGCGGGAUGAAGGCCUUCGGGUUGUAAACCGCUGUCAGAGGGGAUGAAGUAUACGGGAGUUAUCUCCUGUAUUUGACAGAGCCUCAGAGGAAGCACGGGCUAAGUUCGUGCCAGCAGCCGCGGUAA
RNAcentral lists this ribosomal RNA (496 nucleotides) under uncultured bacterium. Its description in RNAcentral is "bacterial SSU rRNA". It matches the Rfam family "Bacterial small subunit ribosomal RNA", at positions 29 to 523 of the family's 1533-position model. The record is from RNAcentral.